Molecule: microRNA precursor, 103 nt
Filed under: Theobroma cacao (cacao)
Lineage: Eukaryota; Viridiplantae; Streptophyta; Magnoliopsida; Malvales; Malvaceae
Description: MIR403 microRNA precursor family
Rfam family: MIR403 microRNA precursor family
Source: Rfam by way of RNAcentral
ACACAUCUCCAGUUUGUGCCUGGAUCAGACGCCAUCAAGGCCGUCCAUUUUUCAAUCAUGCCGUCGAUGGUGUUAGAUUCACGCACAAACUCGUGAUCUGUCU